CUACGGGGUGCUCCAGUGGGGAAUAUUGCACAAUGGGGGAAACCCUGAUGCAGCAACGCCGCGUGAAGGAUGAAGGCCUUUGGGUCGUAAACUUCUGUCCUAGGGGAAGAAACAAAUGACGGUACCCUUGGAGGAAGCCCCGGCUAACUACGUGCCAGCAGCCGCGGUAAUACGUAGGGGGCAAGCGUUAUCCGGAAUUAUUGGGCGUAAAGCGUGCGUAGGCGGUUUUUUAAGCGCGGGGUUUAAGGCAAUGGCUCAACCAUUGUCCGCCCUGCGAACUGAAAGACUUGAGUACAGGAGAGGAAAGCGGAAUUCCUAGUGUAGCGGUGAAAUGCGUAGAUAUUAGGAGGAACACCAGUGGCGAAGGCGGCUUUCUGGACUGACACUGACGCUGAGGCACGAAAGCGUGGGGAGCAAACAGGAUUAGAUACCCUCGUAGUC
RNAcentral lists this ribosomal RNA (441 nucleotides) under uncultured bacterium. RNAcentral describes it as "partial 16S ribosomal RNA". It matches the Rfam family "Bacterial small subunit ribosomal RNA", at positions 339 to 795 of the family's 1533-position model. The record is from RNAcentral.